CGAACGAAUGCGAUGAAGUAUACCCGGCAAUGUUAAUACAUUCAUAUGUACAAUAUGUAUAUGUAUGCAUGUACGUACUUACAUACAGACACGUUAAUAUGUAGACGUGUACUCGUAUGAAUGAGGCGAUUCGCAUUGUAUGUAGAAGUCUUGCACUCGCACUCGUUGUCAACAGCGCAUCGUAGAUACUUUAUCCGUCGCAGUUAUACGAGCCGUCAGUCUAGUGUCAGAUACGAAGUUAUUCAGCUCAACGUGCGGAAGAAAAUUCAAAACAUAUUCUCACUGUAUUUAUGCUUUAUUGCUGGUAAAGUUUUUAACUGUUUUGAAUAAAUGCAUGUGAACAGAACGAAGGCAGAGCGCCGUAGAAGUAGUUAAAUAAAAUAAAUAAAAAAAAGGAAUUGUUGAUAAAAAAAAGUAUUAAUUUCACAAUUGUUGUGCUGAAGCAAUAAAUGUAUAAUUUUUAAAAAGCACUAGAACUUCAAGAGUGUGAAAAAUAAUUGAAGAAAUAGAUGUAAAUUUAAACAAAGUGAGAAAGCAAAAGUUUCAAAUAAAAAAAAAAUCAUUGUGUAAACCUCUAAAAAAGUGUGUGAAAGUUUUGAAAAUCAGCAAACAAACAAAAAAAUUAUAUUUAUAUAUACAGGAGAUUAAAAUAAAUGUUUGAAAAACAAAACAAUUCAUAAGAAAAAGUAUUUGCUGUGUUUAAUGUUUACACUACUAACCUGUAAUUAAUAAAGAAUCCUUGGUGUUUUACAAAAAAAAAAAAAAAAUCAGAAAAAAAUUAGAACGGAAAAAAUGUUAUAAAUGUACUUUUCACAUUUGAAUGUGUUCCAGCCAAGUUAAGAUUUUCAACAAUUCCAUAAUUUAAUGUAUAUAAUAAAUUAAUAAUAUUACACACAUACACACAUACAAAUAUCAUCAUCAAACCCUUGAAAAGUUUAAAUGAAAACAGCAUAAAAUUUAUAAAAAAAAAAAAACAUUAAUACCAAAGAGAAGAAAAAUUAAGCCAAGCUUAAAAAAAUUUCGUGCAUAUUGUGAUAGAUAGACAACAAAAGGACAAAAAGAAUUUUCGUGAACAUUUUUCUGCAUUUUCAAAAAUUCUGAGCAUUAAAAUAUACAUUUUGCAGCAGCAGAAGUUAAACAGCAGAAAAAAAUUAAAUACCCAAAAGUGUAAAUCCUCAAUUCGAAAAAAAAGUUUACAUACAUAUAUUGUAAAUAAACUUAUUUGCAGUGUUGUGUACUAGUGUGUGUUGAAAAAGCAAAAUUUAAAAAUAUUAUAUAGAGCAUUUGUGUGUAAAGCUCUUGCACCUCAAUAUCAAAUAAAUUUAAAACAAAUAUAAAAUUCGCAAUAUUUCGGAUUAUGAAAAGCAGCAGCGUUUCCAAAGAGCAGAAAUAAACAAAAAUAUUCUAGAUACGGCUUGGCAGUUACUCGAGCAUAAAUGGUGAGUGACUUGUUGAAAUCUCUAGUGAUUAAUCAGCGUAAGUUUAUUUCAACUGUGAUUUACACUGAUACUA
Ceratitis capitata (Mediterranean fruit fly) is the source of this 1512-nucleotide long non-coding RNA. RefSeq lists it as uncharacterized. Lineage: Eukaryota; Metazoa; Arthropoda; Insecta; Diptera; Tephritidae. The transcript is spliced from 3 exons. The record is from RefSeq and is a predicted model, not a curated record.